AAAAUAAAAAUUAAAAAAAAGGAAAAACGAGCAGCUCCCCCCCCCCGGCCCACCGACUCGCAGCCCCGCGGGGGAAAGGGGGGGGCACGGCGGGGAGCGGCCCCACAGGGGGAGGCGGCCGCCCCCUUCCCCCCCCCCGCGUGCGCGCGCGCGGGGCAGGAGCAGGUGGGUAGCGCGGGGCGGGGGGGGGGAGGGGGGAGGCACUCACAGCCGGGACAGGAACCGCCCCCGCCUCCUUCUGCUGCCGGACACGCCGGAGGGGCGGGGCGGGGCGGGGCGGGGCGGAACUGACGGCAAUGGGCGGGCCCGGCGUCGCCCCGCCCCCCCGCCGCCGGGCGGCGCAUGCGCAGAGCCGUUGUUCCCCGGGCGGGCGGCGCUGUGAGGAGGCGGCGGCGCCGUUGGCGGGCGACGCUGUGAGGAGGCGGUGGAGCCGUUGGCGGGCGGCGCCGCGCCCCUCCCCUGCGCGGCCCCAGGGGCGACAAAACUGGCGGAAAGGAGCGGCCGGUGGCUCCGGGAAAUGGUGUUUAUUCAGGGAGCAGGGAGGUCUUGCUUGUCCGUCGGUUCGUAAAUCGGGCUGUCACCGAAAUAAGAAUGAUUUCUCAUGGCCAGCUGCCAGGAUCUCUCCUUAUCGUCCAGUUGACAACUACUCUGACGCUUACUUGGGGCAACCUUCUCCUCGAAUGAGCAUUCAGCACCUUCGAGCUUAAAGAACAAAAAUCCUGAGAGCCUGGGAAGAUGUACCUUAUAUGAGAAGCCAAGAGUCGGCAGGACGGACCCGUGCCAGGGCACCCAGAGGACAUCCUUCCAGCUUGCUUUCCAAACGGAAGGCUCUUAGUUGGUGCCACGCUUCUCGAAAUCCAGGAGAGCAGACAUGUGUCCCUGGAUGCCACGUUUGCUUCCAACAUGCUACUCGUUUUCCCCGUAGAAGAGACGCCUGCUGCCAUGUCAUUCCCCAUGGAGACGCUUGGCCCGAGUAUUUUAUCCAUUUAUCAAGCCAGAUCAUCAACCAAACCAUCUCACCGCCCGAUCUGUUCUUACGCACCCCCACCACCACCACAGCUAUCAGCCCAAGCCAUGGAAGUGAAAACUGCUCUCUGCCUCCCAGUUUGCAAUAUCUCUGGCACGAUGGGGUACUCAGCUUCCCUGUCUCUACUUUCCCAGUGCAGAUGCCUGUAGGAGAAGAAAGGAGCAUAUCAGGACUUAAAGCAUCUCUAGGAAAUAAUUGUGGCUGUGUAAACGCUGUGAUUUAGAGCUUUGGCAUUGCUGUUAAGCUGCGCCAGGAUGUGGGUAUAUAAUAUCCUGAAUAAUCCCAGGUGGUGAAGCAAGUCUGCAGAGAAGUUCCCUAAAUGGGUAUCUAUCAAAACUGGAAAUGGAAAUGGAAGAUCAUUGUCUGCCUCAAAACCUGGCUUCCAUUCAAACAUUUUUAAAGUUGAAAGUCUUCAUCCUUUCAGCUGUUCUGAUGGAGGAACUCUGCACCAAGAGUCUUACCUGACACUUCAAAAUGUUUAGAUAUAUUAAAGUGACCAYUGUCAAUUCAAUCAUUUGCUGUUUGCAUUAGUGCGUUAACAUCUAAUUUACCAGCGGCUCAGCUUUAUCUCUUACUUUAAGUAUAACCCAACUUUAUAUAUCCCCACUCAAUAACACUUCAUCAAAUGCCUUCACAAUCGCUUUUUUUUUUGCCUUCUGCAAGACAAUGCUGCUGCUUCGUCAUAACCUUUGUCAUAAACUGUUUCCAUUAUUUGUGAAUGCUGCUUUUGUAUUGCUGUGCUUCAGAUGCGGCAUAGUUAAUGAUGUCUUUUGUGAUGGUAUGCAUUUUUGUGCUAAACAGCUUUUUCUUUUAAUGUAUCUUUACAUUUACUGCAGUAUGUGCCAAUUGCUUAUCCAUAUACCGUGUUUAUGCUUUGUCAGAUUGACUCCAGCUUCCUCCCUUGUUCACUGACACAAACACAUUUUUUCACUAGUCCAGCACUUUCCCACUGUUCUUCACGACAUAAUGGUCAGUGCCAACAGUCUUGUUUCUGAUUACAGAUCAUAAAUAAUUCAAUCUCUAAUUAGUCUUAAUGCACUUCUUAAAUGCACAUGGGUUAGUUUUAAAAUGUCACUCUGCAAUGUAAUGGUCAAUUUUUUUAGCUAUGCUCUGCUUUUGUGUAAAGAAAAUGUAUUCCUGAACUUUUUUGGUUUUGUCAAGCAAUUUGCAGUCUUCAUUAUAUUCUCUCUGGAAUAAUUGGAAGAGCUUCAGUGCAGCUAGAAUUGCUUCGUGUUCUUUCUAUAAUAUACUUGCUCUUUAUCUGAUAGUACUUUAACGUAUCUCAGUAACUUUGGGGAAUUCUGCAGACACCUUCUCCAGAUUCCCUUCCAUGGGGAAUUCUGAUACAUCAUGUUUAUCAUGAUUUUUAAUACCAUACAAUAAAGGUCUGAUACAGAAAAGUAUUUUUCA
This 2437-nucleotide long non-coding RNA is filed under the name Apteryx rowi (Okarito brown kiwi). Its description in RNAcentral is "lncRNA (ENSARWG00000011628.1)". The record is from RNAcentral. Lineage: Eukaryota; Metazoa; Chordata; Aves; Apterygiformes; Apterygidae.